UCCCAUCUCUCUCAGCCUAUCCUCGCAGGAGAGGUGCUCCAUCCCUUGGAUCAUUUUUGUGGCCCUCUUCUUGACACACUCCAACAGGCCCACAUCUCCUGUACAGAGGGCUCCCUCUGCAUGCAGUACUCCAGCUUUAUUGUUGAACAUCCAGAGCCUUGAUCGUCUGCCCCAGACAAAGACUACUGUGGCAAAGUGAUGAGGAACUUGAAAGCAAAUGAAAGCUUGCCAGGAAUCUGUGGAAACAGCUACUUCCUCAACUGAUUGUAUGUCAUCAUCACUGUCUCCUAUGAGUCCAAAUUUAAAACUUCUCCUUGCCGGGUUGACCAGUAUUGGCAAAAGCAUUUUUGCCCCACUUGAGCUGGUGGAUCCCAUCUAUUCCAAGGAAUUGUUGAUUCCCAGAGAGACUACAAAGGUCUUGAAGCUGAAUCCUGUUGUUGGUAACAGUUAUGCAAACUGUCGUUGACCUGAAGAAUCCAUCCACUCUGCCUCAAGUCUCUCCCCUCACUAAUAGGACUGAGGAGACAUCACCUGGAAGCCAAGACCUUGGUCAGCACCCUUGGAGCCAUGAAGUCAGUCUUGGUAUGCUCCAUGUUGCCUCUGGCACCAGUGGUGCACCUGUGGAAGGCCAGCAGGGUGUCACAGCCCCAGAGCUGCCAAGCCUUGCAGCUUCUCCACUGCACCCCACUUCUUAGGCUCCAGCAAGCAUCAAGCCUCAAAGCAAACCUACUUGCCUAAAGAGAAAAGAUACACUGAGGGGGAGAGAAGGAGCUUCAAUGACAAGUUCAAGCAUCAUCACACUCAGCAUGGAUCUUCAUCUUGUCCAAAUGUUGUUACACCUUGAGAAGAUAUGACUCUUCUGCAGGAAUGGAGAGCAUCCUAGCUGGCUGUGAAUUUUCUGUAUGUCAAGAAUUUCAGUGUUAGGGACCCAUGUGAAUGAUUUCUAACAAUGAUUUUCAGCCAAAUAACUUUGUUUUAAGACCGUGCUGACCCUUUGUCUCAUGGCUGAGGAUGCAUAAAGAUCAUUCACUUCAAUGAGAGCCUCCUGUGGCACUGUGGCACCCAUUCAGCAUGCCCAGGGUACUGAGGUUGGAGAGCAGGAGACCUCCUGGGAAGUCUGGCACAGCCAGUGCCACCUCCAGCUUGUCCCUGUGUCCUCUGAUGCCUGUCACCAGCCUGGCUCUGAGCCAGGGCAUGGCUGAGCUGCUGCAGCAGUCAUUGCCUGGGUGAGCACUUCUGACUGGGAGCAGACAGAGGAUGCUGCUGUUCCUGUUGUGCUCACUCCUGACUGCACACAUUGGCAUUUCCAAAGUAGUACUUUUUUUUUCCUGAAUAGUUCAAAUCAUAAUGUCACCAAACUCAAUACAAAGUAAGUAAAUUUACAGUUUUGUGAAGCACCACUGUACAAGUUGCCCUUGAGAAACUCAUUGUAAGGAAGUUUCUUUAGUAUUAUAUUGACUCAUGGAGGAAAAGGGCCAGGGAGGACAGAUCCUGGUGCACAAACAUGGGGCACUCAGAGCACAAUGCCCAGCAAGCACAGCUGACAUUCCAGUUUUGGGCCCCUCACUGCAAGAAAGACAUUGAGGCCCUGGAACAUG
Phasianus colchicus (ring-necked pheasant) is the source of this 1598-nucleotide long non-coding RNA. RefSeq lists it as uncharacterized. NCBI's taxonomy places the organism in Eukaryota, Metazoa, Chordata, Aves, Galliformes, Phasianidae. The record is from RefSeq and is a predicted model, not a curated record.